UACGAAGGGGGCUAGCGUUGCUCGGAAUCACUGGGCGUAAAGCGCACGUAGGCGGACUCUUAAGUCGGUGGUGAAAUCCUGGAGCUCAACUCCAGAACUGCCUUCGAUACUGGGAGUCUUGAGUUCGGGAGAGGUGAGUGGAACUGCGAGUGUAGAGGUGAAAUUCGUAGAUAUUCGCAAGAACACCAGUGGCGAAGGCGGCUCACUGGCCCGAUACUGACGCUGAGGAGCGAAAGCCAGGGGAGCAAACGGG
RNAcentral lists this ribosomal RNA (253 nucleotides) under uncultured bacterium. Its description in RNAcentral is "partial 16S ribosomal RNA". It matches the Rfam family "Bacterial small subunit ribosomal RNA", at positions 524 to 776 of the family's 1533-position model. The record is from RNAcentral.